RNAcentral lists this ribosomal RNA (486 nucleotides) under uncultured bacterium. RNAcentral describes it as "partial 16S ribosomal RNA". It matches the Rfam family "Bacterial small subunit ribosomal RNA", at positions 28 to 507 of the family's 1533-position model. The record is from RNAcentral.
GACGAACGCUGGCGGCGUGCUUAACACAUGCAAGUCGAACGCUGAAGACCUGGCUUUUGUUGGGUUGGAUGAGUGGCGAACGGGUGAGUAACACGUGAGUAACCUGCCCUCUUCUUUGGGAUAACGCCCGGAAACGGGUGCUAAUACUGGAUAUUCACUGAUCUUCGCAUGGGGGUUGGUGGAAAGGUUUGUUCUGGUGGGGGAUGGGCUCGCGGCCUAUCAGCUUGUUGGUGGGGUGAUGGCCUACCAAGGCUUUGACGGGUAGCCGGCCUGAGAGGGUGACCGGUCACAUUGGGACGGAGAUACGGCCCAGACUCCUACGAGAGGCAGCAGUGGGGAGUAUUGCACAAUGGGCGAAAGCCUGAUGCAGCGGCGCCGCGUGAGGGAUGGAGGCCUUCGGGUUGUAAACCUCUUUCGCUCAUGGUCAAGCCGCAACUGUGGGUUGUGGUGAGGGUAGUGGGUAAAGAAGCGCCGGCUAACUACGUG